This 253-nucleotide ribosomal RNA is filed under the name uncultured bacterium. RNAcentral describes it as "partial 16S ribosomal RNA". It matches the Rfam family "Bacterial small subunit ribosomal RNA", at positions 524 to 776 of the family's 1533-position model. The record is from RNAcentral.
UACGUAGGGGGCAAGCGUUGUCCGGAUUUAUUGGGCGUCAAGAGCGUGUAGGCGGCUAGGUAGGUCCGUUGUGAAAACUCGAGGCUCAACCUCGAGACGCCGAUGGAAACCAUCUAGCUAGAGUCCGGAAGAGGAGAGUGGAAUUCCUGGUGUAGCGGUGAAAUGCGCAGAUAUCAGGAAAAACACCCGUGGCUAAGGCGGCUCUCUAGUACGGUACUGACGCUGAGACGCGAAAGCGUGGGGAGCGAACAGG